This is a long non-coding RNA of Carassius gibelio (silver crucian carp), 2242 nucleotides long. RefSeq lists it as uncharacterized. The transcript is spliced from 3 exons. The record is from RefSeq and is a predicted model, not a curated record. NCBI's taxonomy places the organism in Eukaryota, Metazoa, Chordata, Actinopteri, Cypriniformes, Cyprinidae.
CUAACACACGACGUAACAGUUACGUAACGUACUGGUAAUUUUUGGUAAUUCCAUGACUUACCAAUUGACAACGUAACUACGACGUCGCAUUCCCGUAAUUUUAUUACCAUCACAUUACCAACUCGCAACGUCGUCAGUACGUCCUUCCAACGUGACCAGAUAACCAAGAACGUCCCAGACAGGUCCUCUGUUGGUAAUAUAUUGGUAACUUCAUGACUUACUGGCAACGUAACUACAACGUCGUAUGCACGUAAUAUCAUUACAAUAUUUUUUGUACGUUCUUUAUAUGCUCUCUGAGUAUAGAGCUAUUUAAAAAGUGUGAUUAAACUUCAGACACAAGAUUAAACGUUCCUUAAAGAUAAAAUAUGUUUAUUUUCAACAAGUCAGAAUAUGGACAUGCUUUUAAGCUUUUAAUGACGUGACAUAGAGUCGCGCGCUUCCACAACUGACGCACCGCGCGCACAGUAUUGACAAGAAAAGAGUUGUGAAACUUUCUAUCUCGUAUGGAGUUAUAACGUGAAAUAAUGACACAGACUGGCUCAUCAUCUCAUCUGCAGCAGAGACUGUUGUAUCAGAAGGACAGCGCGUUUGUUUGACGCACUUUUCACUUCAACUGUGUCUGACAGGAGAAUUUAGCUUUCUGAGGCGAGUCUUACAAUUUAUAAUAAAUAAGUGGGUUGAUAAAAUGUAUAAAACAAAGUAAAAACAAAAGUCUAACGUCGCUAAAACCUUUUUUUAUUAUUUUAUUGUUUUUAUUGGCCUUCUAGCCGUUGAGUUACCAUGGCAACCGCGUACACAUCAGCUGCUGGAGAGGAGAGGACUCGUCUGACAUUUUUUCUGUUUCUCGUCUGUUAUACCAAAGAAAAGACCAACAACUGCGACAGAUUUGUUAAGUAACACGUUAAUAUUAUCCACAGUCUACUUUAAGUACUUUUUAUUAAUAUUUAUACCUCUGUGAUUAUGGUAUUUUUCUUGAAAUGUCUGCUAUCAAGUAUUACGCUAGCAUAGAAACAUAAUUAACGUUAUAGCAUAAUAGAUUUGAGCUCUUAUUAAUGAAAGUUUGGGCUUUUAAUUACAUCUUAUGCGUAAAGGAUCGGUUUUGAUUGCUUUGUAAAUGUUUUUGAUGGUAAUUUGUCAAUAGAUAAAUGAAGUAAAGUUAAGCUAAUUAAUUUAACCUAAAAGUCUGCACUGUAGAGUCUAUCAGUGACGUCACUUGCGGUCUAAAAUGGGCUGAAACUAUUUCAAACCACUGUUUCAAGCUUGUUCUGAUUUAUCAUUGUAAACAAAUAUUGAUAAAACAUUUUUUACAGUGAUUUCAGGAGUGUCUUAAAAACCCUCUAAAACAGAAGGGAAGUUCCAAGAAAAUGUCUAAUGGGAGCUGCUGACAGAGAUAGAAAACACAGUUUGUUUAUUUCUAAUAAGGAGCUGGAGGCCGUGAAGAAACAGUUCCACGAUAUCGUGGAGAAGCAGGCCCAGAUGAGCAAGUGGAGAGCUGUGCUGGAAAUAUUCAGGGGUUGAUGCUCAUAAGUCCAGGGUAAGUAUACAGCUAACCCUCCUACCACCUCUACUCUGUGUGGUUCUCUGCAAAGGCCCGGUGUACCCAAGACACGAUCUUCCCAGCUGUCCUUCACCGUAUUUAACAGUGUAAGACAUGAACCAGGCCCUGGGCGACGACCUCUCUCCAUCCACCGCCUCCGGUCUUCAGGAUCUCCACCAGAACCCGAUUCGCUCCACUUGGUGAGACAGAACACAACGUUGUGAUCAUCGGAGACUCCAUCAUCCGGCACGUUCGUGCUAUGUUAGCUGAAGGUAAAGUCCACACUCACUGCUUCCCUGGUGCUCAUGUUCUUGAUAUUUCUACACAGAUUCCCGUGAUCCUGAAGGGUGAGGGGAGCAUCGGAGUGGAAAUGCUUCACGCCGGCGUUAACGACACAAUGCUGCGGCAGACGGAGACACUGAAGAGAGACUUCAGGAGCCUGAUCGAGACGGUGCACAGCACAUCACCUGCAUGAUGAUCAUCGUGUCAGGACCACUUCCCAUAUAUAGACGAGGACAUGAAAGGUUCAGCAGACUUUUUGCUUUAAACGAAUGGUUAUUGUCAUGGUGUAAAGAACAGAAACUGCUUUUUGUUAAUAAUUGGGAUCUUUUCUGGGAGCGUCCUAGGCUUUUUAGAUCUCCUGUUGGACAACAUCUCCAGGACACGUCGCUCCAUAUGACUAGGCAGUUUGUGAAGACAGAUAAU